Molecule: ribosomal RNA, 425 nt
Filed under: uncultured bacterium
Lineage: Bacteria
Description: bacterial SSU rRNA
Rfam family: Bacterial small subunit ribosomal RNA
Source: RNAcentral
GAAUCUUUCGCAAUGGGGGAAACCCUGACGAUGCGACGCCGCGUGCAGGAUGACGGCUCUCGGGUCGUAAACUGCUGUUGAACGGGAAGAAAAUUUAGUGAUGAACAAUCAUUAAAUUUGACGGUACCGUUAGAGAAAGCCCCGGCUAACUACGUGCCAGACGCCGCGGUCAUACGUCGGGGGCGAGCGUUGUUCGGAUUUACUGGGCGUAAAGAGCGUGUAGGUGGUUAUGCAAGUCGAAUGUGAAAUCCCAUGGCUUAACCAAGGAAGUGCAUUCGAAACUGCAUGGCUAGAGUUCGGGAGAGGAGAGCGGAAUUCUCGGUGUAGUGGUGAAAUACGUGGAGAUCGAGAAGAACACCAGUGGUGAAAGCGGCUCUCUAGACCGAUACUGACACUGAGGCGCGAAAGCGUGGGGAGCAAACGGG